UUUUUAAGUCNGAUGUAUAANCCCGGGNCUCAACCCCGGGAGGCAUGGNAAACUGGGAGGCUUGAGUACNGAAGAGGAGAGUGNAAUUCCACGUGUAGNGGNGAAAUGCGUAGAUAUGUGNAGGAACACCAGUGGCGAAGGCNACUCUCUGGUCUGUAACUGACGCUGAGGCGCGAAAGCNUGGGGAGCAAACAGGAUUANAUACCCUGGUAGUCCACGCUGUAAACGAUGAAUGCUAGGUGUCAGGGGUUUCAAUACCCUGGGUGCCGAAGUUAACACAUUAAGCAUUCCGCCUGGGGAGUACGG
Molecule: ribosomal RNA, 306 nt
Filed under: uncultured bacterium
Lineage: Bacteria
Description: partial 16S ribosomal RNA
Rfam family: Bacterial small subunit ribosomal RNA
Source: RNAcentral